GCUGGGUGUCAUGGCACAUACCUGUAGUUCCAGCUACCAGAAGGCUGAGGUGGGAGGAUUGCUUGAGCCCAGGAGUUUGAAGUUGCAGUGAGCUGUGAUUGUGCCACUGUACUCCAGCCUGGGCAACAGAGCAAGACCCCACUCCAA
This 147-nucleotide signal recognition particle RNA is filed under the name Nomascus leucogenys (northern white-cheeked gibbon). RNAcentral's name for it is "Metazoan signal recognition particle RNA". It matches the Rfam family "Metazoan signal recognition particle RNA". From Rfam's summary of the family: The signal recognition particle (SRP) is a universally conserved ribonucleoprotein. Lineage: Eukaryota; Metazoa; Chordata; Mammalia; Primates; Hylobatidae. The record is from Rfam by way of RNAcentral.